ACCAAGGCUCAGAUGGGAUAACCGACUUUUCCAAGUCCAACAGACAGUAAGGAAAGGAAUGGCGAGAUCAACUCAGAUCUUCUCUUAGCCAUGCUGAGGGUAAUCGCCUUGCAAUUACCUCUUCAAUGGAUAUUCCUUGCAAGAAUUAAAACUCUAUUAGGCUUUUUCCAAGAUAGCUCCUUCCAGAACUCAGUUCAUCCAGGUCAAAAAAGCACUGGAAGGUAAAUUGGCAACCACUCAUCAUAUCACAUGAUGUUUUCCAAAAUGUAAGACUGUCCCAAUCAAAGGAGCUGGUAGCAAACAUAAUGAACGUCAGCUGAGACUCUAUAAACCAAAAAAGCCCUGGGUUGACUGUGUUCAUGUGACUUCAAAAGAGGGUAAUCUGCAGGGGGUGUUCCUGCAGGGCCUACUUUGCACCCUUUGCUACCCUUUAGAUACCAUUUGACCUCAUUUUCCUCUCUGUGUGAUGGCCAAACCACAGGCUCCCUCUUCUAUCUGGCCCCAUGAGCAUUAAUCAACUUCAACCUUCCCCAAGACCUGGCAGGAGAGAUGCAGUACCUACUUCUUAAUAAACUCAAACUGUCAUUGAAGAUGAAAGAUGAGACUGCAAAACUUCGAGCAUCCCAACUCCCCAGCUUGCCAAGUGCUGGGAAUCCGGAGGGGAGUGCCCUCGAGGACAGGUCUCUGUGGAUGGUGCAGAAAAGUCAGCUAGCUGCCUUCUCUUUUUUCCCUUCUCUUUCUUCCCCUAAAUGCUCCCUCAGUGAUACCACUGUGUCUGCAGUAAAGAGAGACUGUCUAGCUGUUUCUUUUUCAGCAAGACAAUUUGGUGUGUGGUCUGUGGUGCCCACACAUUCUUCUUUGCAAUGAGUGGUGGGUGAACAGUGUUUUCCAAGUUGGAUGUUACAGUACCAUAAGUAGAAACAGAUCUCCCGGAGCUCCGAACACUUUUUCUGCCUGAGUUGGGAGGAUCAGCAGGCUCCUGUGUAGAUGGCCCAGCAGAUUCCUUGGGAGCAGCUUUGCAGCAUUUCCCCACUCACUGGCCCUCACCAAUCAUAAUGAAAGCUCAAUUAGGUGGUGGACUUCCACUUUUGUAACUGCCAGGUACGAGAGACUUGAGCAUGAGUGUGACUACAGGAAGAAGCCAGCCUUAAAAGAGAAGAGGAAGAUAUAAGAAAGAGAGGAGAUAAUUGAAGGAACAAGGUUCCUGGCCCCUGAGGAGGCAAGGGCCGGUUGGUUGGAAUAAGAUACAGAGCACAGAAGAAGGUGUGAUCUUGGACAGGAGGAAAGACAGUGCUUCUUCCUUGGGAGGUAGGAAAGGGGUAAAGCUAUUGGUAAGGUAACAGUUGUGAGACUGGAGGAAGAAGCAGGAAAGGAAAUGAAACUGAUCAUCUUGAGGUUAACAUGAGCUAAUUGGGGGAAAUCACAUCACAACUUUUUGACUGGACAUCCCUGUGAUAGAAAUCUCUAUAUACAACAAAAGCUUUCCAAGCUCUGGCUAAUGGCCCAUGUAUAUGACAAAGCCAAAUACUGUGGUCAAAGAAUGAGGAUAAUUCAUAGAGGCAGUGUCAAGGAGACAUUGCCAAUAAUGAAAAAGCACUCCAAAAAGGAAGUAUAAAUGAUUUGCAAAUUGUAGCUAGUCUUGUAAUUACUGUGCAGGUAGAUGUCCCUAACUCUGUAUCUCCUGAUUCUUCCCCAAGCUCUUGUAUAGCUCACUUAAAAAAUUAACACUAGUUGAACAUACUAUCUAAAGGGCCAAUUGGGCACAGUCUGACACUCCCAAAGCAGGAGUUUUCUGUAUCCUCCUGGGAACUGCACCAAUUAUAAGCCAGAGGGUGAAGUUAGUUUGAGUUUGCUGCCCUGAGCCUCCCUCUUUUGUCCUUUUUCCCUUCUUAGCAGGUAGAUUCUUUUCUCUCCUCCAGGCACUCCACCUCCUAAUCACUACUCUUCACCUGCCAUGAAAACUGGCUUUCAGCAUAGGAUCUGAAAUUACAUUGGUCAUUUACACCUUAAUGUAAUUCUAAGGAACUGUUUACUCUCUCCCAGAGGCAUGGUUACACAAGUCUUCCAUUUUAAUUUUAUUAAAGGCUUUGAUCCCUCUUAGAAGGUGUUAGACACUCAGAAUCUGGAGAGAGAGCACUUGUUAUAACCUCCCAAAUCUUCCAAAAGCAGGGCAGGACACACAGGCACUUUCUGAAGUGACAGCCCAGCAAUGAUCAGAGUCUUUGAGUAUUUCUCUCUCUGGCAUGCUGCUACUUUUCCUUCUUUGUAGUUCUUUGUUGAUAGAAAUGGAUUUAAAAUGGCAUAAAUUCUUGGAGACAAAUAAAAUUCAUUGUUGGCAGAAA
Molecule: long non-coding RNA, 2342 nt
Organism: Homo sapiens (human)
Lineage: Eukaryota; Metazoa; Chordata; Mammalia; Primates; Hominidae
Exons: 2
Source: RefSeq, a predicted model, not a curated record